AGAGUUUGAUCCUGGCUCAGGAUGAACGCUAGCGGCAGGCCUAAUACAUGCAAGUCGAGGGGCAGCGCAGUGUAGCAAUACAUGGGCGGCGACCGGCAAACGGGUGCGGAACACGUACACAACCUUCCUUUUAGUGGAGCAUAGCCCAGGGAAACUUGGAUUAAUACUCCGUAACAUAACGAGAUGGCAUCUUCUUGUUAUUAUAGAAGCAAUUCGCUAGAAGACGGGUGUGCGGCUGAUUAGAUAGUUGGCGGGGUAACGGCCCACCAAGUCCACGAUCAGUAACUGGUGUGAGAGCACGACCAGUCACACGGGCACUGAGACACGGGCCCGACUCCUACGGGAGGCAGCAGUAAGGAAUAUUGGUCAAUGGACGCAAGUCUGAACCAGCCAUGCCGCGUGGAGGAUGAAGGCCCUCUGGGUUGUAAACUUCUUUUAUAGGGGACGAAAAAGGGACUUUCUAGUCCAACUGACGGUACCCUAGGAAUAAGCACCGGCUAACUCCGUGCCAGCAGCCGCGGUAAUACGGAGGGUGCAAGCGUUAUCCGGAUUCACUGGGUUUAAAGGGUGCGUAGGUGGAUUAGUAAGUCAGUGGUGAAAUCUUCGAGCUUAACUCGGAAACUGCCAUUGAUACUAUUAGUCUUGAAUAUUGUGGAGGUUAGCGGAAUAUGUCAUGUAGCGGUGAAAUGCUUAGAUAUGACAUAGAACACCAAUUGCGAAGGCAGCUGGCUACACAUAUAUUGACACUGAGGCACGAAAGCGUGGGGAUCAAACAGGAUUAGAUACCCUGGUAGUCCACGCCCUAAACUAUGGAUACUCGACAUACGCGAUACACAGUGUGUG
This 843-nucleotide ribosomal RNA is filed under the name uncultured bacterium. RNAcentral's name for it is "bacterial SSU rRNA". It matches the Rfam family "Bacterial small subunit ribosomal RNA", at positions 8 to 845 of the family's 1533-position model. The record is from RNAcentral.